GACGAACGUUGGCGGCGUGCUUAACACAUGCAAGUCGAACGGAAAGGCCCUGCUUUUGUGGGGUGCUCGAGUGGCGAACGGGUGAGUAACACGUGAGUAACCUGCCCUUGACUUUGGGAUAACUUCAGGAAACUGGGGCUAAUACCGGAUAGGAGCUCCUGCUGCAUGGUGGGGGUUGGAAAGUUUCGGCGGUUGGGGAUGGACUCGCGGCUUAUCAGCUUGUUGGUGGGGUAGUGGCUUACCAAGGCUUUGACGGGUAGCCGGCCUGAGAGGGUGACCGGCCACAUUGGGACUGAGAUACGGCCCAGACUCCUACGGGAGGCAGCAGUGGGGAAUAUUGCACAAUGGGCGGAAGUCUGAUGCAGCAACGCCGCGUGCGGGAUGACGGCCUUCGGGUUGUAAACCGCUUUCGCCUGUGACGAAGCGUGAGUGACGGUAAUGGGUAAAGAAGCACCGGCUAACUACGUGCCAGCAGCCGCGGUGAUACGUAGGGUGCGAGCGUUGUCCGGAUUUAUUGGGCGUAAAGGGCUCGUAGGUGGUUGAUCGCGUCGGAAGUGUAAUCUUGGGGCUUAACCCUGAGCGUGCUUUCGAUACGGGUUGACUUGAGGAAGGUAGGGGAGAAUGGAAUUCCUGGUGGAGCGGUGGAAUGCGCAGAUAUCAGGAGGAACACCAGUGGCGAAGGCGGUUCUCUGGGCCUUUCCUGACGCUGAGGAGCGAAAGCGUGGGGAGCGAACAGGCUUAGAUACCCUGGUAGUCCACGCUGUAAACGGUGGGUACUAGGUGUGGGGUCCAUUCCACGGGUUCCGUGCCGUAGCUAACGCUUUGAGUACCCCGCCUGGGGAGUACGGCCGCAAGGCUAAAACUCAAAGGAAUUGACGGGGCCCCGCACAAGCGGCGGAGCAUGCGGAUUAAUUCGAUGCAACGCGUAGAACCUUACCUGGGUUUGACAUGGAUCGGGAGUGCUCAGAGAUGGGUGUGCCUCUUUUGGGGUCGGUUCACAGGUGGUGCAUGGCUGUCGUCAGCUCGUGUCGUGAGAUGUUGGGUUAAGUCCCGCAACGAGCGCAACCCUUGUUCACUGUUGCCAGCACGUUAUGGUGGGGACUCAGUGGAGACCGCCGGGGUCAACUCGGAGGAAGGUGGGGAUGACGUCAAGUCAUCAUGCCCCUUAUGUCCAGGGCUUCACGCAUGCUACAAUGGCUGGUACAGAGAGUGGCGAGCCUGUGAGGGUGAGCGAAUCUCGGAAAGCCGGUUUCAGUUCGGAUUGGGGUCUGCAACUCGACCUCAUGAAGUCGGAGUCGCUAGUAAUCGCAGAUCAGCAACGCUGCGGUGAAUACGUUCCCGGG
RNAcentral lists this ribosomal RNA (1343 nucleotides) under uncultured bacterium. RNAcentral's name for it is "16S ribosomal RNA". It matches the Rfam family "Bacterial small subunit ribosomal RNA", at positions 28 to 1378 of the family's 1533-position model. The record is from RNAcentral.